ACACUUGCCUCGCCGACCGCCAUUUCACAUCCAGCAGAGGAGGCGGGGGCAGCCGCUGAGACGGUUUUUCACAAGGAAAUGACCUCAUUCUUGAUGGCUGCUGCUAACUUAUGUAUUCCCACGAGCAUUCUGCUGAGAUGAACAAUCAGAUGACCUCGUGUGAGAUUUGGAGGAGAGAAGGAAAUGGAGAGCAUGCGUCUGCCGCUUCUGUGGUUUCUGUCGGUAAGCACAGUGAUGAGGUGCUGAGUUUUCCCCAGAAGGCCUCCCAGUGUCCUAUUACCAGCUUCACAAGCGUCGAGGGCAGGGCAUGGGCAUCUAUUGUUCACCAGUGGAGAUCUAUCUGGCACAGAACCGAUCCAACCAUUGCAGUGGUCACAGCGGUGUUGGCUUUCUGAUUCUCAACCUUCCUGACCGCCAGAGGAGACAGCCUCUUUGGUGGCCCUGUUCUGUGGUAUUGUGCUAACCGGUGGUGGGACUAAAACUGUCUCUAUAAUGUUUUAUUUCUUAAAAAAAAAUUCUGAAGCAAAUGUGACAAUAUGUUAACAUUCUUAAAAUCUGGGUAGUGGGAACAUGGAUGUUGUUAUUUGUGGUGUGUUUGAAAUUGUGUCAUAUUAUAAAUUUUAAAAAAAUGUUUUGACUACAAAAUCUCUAUGUAUAUGCCCAGUUUUUGUAGAUUGUUGCUUACGCUUUUCAUAUUUUUACCCAAGGAGUAAUCAGGAAUUCUAAAAGUCUUAUGUAACAGGAUU
Molecule: long non-coding RNA, 746 nt
Filed under: Homo sapiens (human)
Lineage: Eukaryota; Metazoa; Chordata; Mammalia; Primates; Hominidae
Description: HSALNT0336235
Source: RNAcentral